This 249-nucleotide ribosomal RNA is filed under the name uncultured bacterium. Its description in RNAcentral is "partial 16S ribosomal RNA". It matches the Rfam family "Bacterial small subunit ribosomal RNA", at positions 15 to 257 of the family's 1533-position model. The record is from RNAcentral.
GAUCCUGGCUCAGGAUGAACGCUGGCGGCGUGCCUAACACAUGCAAGUCGAACGGAAUUUACAUGAAGCCUAGCGAUUGUAAAUUUAGUGGCGGACGGGUGAGUAACGCGUGGGUAACCUGCCUUGUACUGGGGGACAACAGUUGGAAACGACUGCUAAUACCCCAUAAGCGCACGGCUUCGCAUGAAGCAGUGUGAAAAACUCCGGUGGUACAAGAUGGACCCGCGUCUGAUUAGCUGGUUGGUGAGG